This is a long non-coding RNA of Sardina pilchardus (European sardine), 247 nucleotides long. RefSeq lists it as uncharacterized. The record is from RefSeq and is a predicted model, not a curated record. The transcript is spliced from 3 exons. Lineage: Eukaryota; Metazoa; Chordata; Actinopteri; Clupeiformes; Clupeidae.
GCUUUUCUGAUCUCUCUUUACUUUUUCAGUUGCUUCACUGAGAGAGCCAACGGUGGAGCACUAUGAUGAUGGCACUGCUGAUGACAACGAGACCAACCUCGAUGAUAUGUUGACAGAGUCUUUGAGAGAGGAGGGGCUGGAGGAUUAUGAUGACAUCACCAUUGAUGAGAAUGCCUCUAAAUGACCAAGGUGGUGUGAGUGACUGUUGCUAGGGAUGGAUUAUGAUGAUGUGGGGGCGGAGUCUGAU